CCCUAGUAACGGCGAGUGAAGCGGCAACAGCUCAAAUUUGAAAUCUGGCUCUUUUAGAGUCCGAGUUGUAAUUUGCAGAGGGCGCUUUGGCUUUGGCAGCGGUCCAAGUUCCUUGGAACAGGACGUCACAGAGGGUGAGAAUCCCGUACGUGGUCGCUGGCUAUUGCCGUGUAAAGCCCCUUCGACGAGUCGAGUUGUUUGGGAAUGCAGCUCUAAAUGGGAGGUACAUUUCUUCUAAAGCUAAAUAUUGGCCAGAGACCGAUAGCGCACAAGUAGAGUGAUCGAAAGAUGAAAAGCACUUUGGAAAGAGAGUCAAACAGCACGUGAAAUUGUUAAAAGGGAAGCGCUUGCAGCCAGACUUGCUUACAGUUGCUCAUCCGGGCUUUUGCCCGGUGCACUCUUCUGUAGGCAGGCCAGCAUCAGUUUGGGCGGUAGGAUAAAGGUCUCUGUCACGUACCUCCUUUCGGGGAGGCCUUAUAGGGGAGACGACAUACUACCAGCCUGGACUGAGGUCCGCGCAUCUGCUAGGAUGCUGGCGUAAUGGCUGUAAGCGGCCCGUCUUGAAACACGGACCAAGGAGUCUAACAUCUAUGCGAGUGUUUGGGUGUCAAGCCCGAGCGCGUAAUGAAAGUGAACGGAGGUGGGAACCCGCAAGGGUGCACCAUCGACCGAUCCUGAUGUCUUCGGAAGGAUUUGAGUAAGAGCAUGGCUGUUGGGACCCGAAAGAUGGUGAACUAUGCUUGAAUAGGGUGAAGCCAGAGGAAACUCUGGUGGAGGCUCGCAGCGGUUCUGACGUGCAAAUCGAUCGU
This 809-nucleotide ribosomal RNA is filed under the name Alternaria chartarum. RNAcentral's name for it is "partial large subunit ribosomal RNA". It matches the Rfam family "Eukaryotic large subunit ribosomal RNA", at positions 78 to 905 of the family's 3401-position model. Lineage: Eukaryota; Fungi; Ascomycota; Dothideomycetes; Pleosporales; Pleosporaceae. The record is from RNAcentral.